GUCUAUAGCCAUACCACCCUGAGCACUCUUGAUCUUGUCUGAUCACAGAAGUUAAGCAGGGUCAGGCCUGGUUAGUACUUGGAUGGGAGAGCUGACCAGAAAUAUUUCCAAUCUAAAUA
Molecule: ribosomal RNA, 119 nt
Organism: Cavia porcellus (domestic guinea pig)
Lineage: Eukaryota; Metazoa; Chordata; Mammalia; Rodentia; Caviidae
Source: Ensembl